UAAAGGUUUGGUCCUAGCCUUCCCAUUAGUUAUUAAUAAAUCUACACAUGCAAGCCUCCGCACUCCGGUGAGGACGCCCUUCAAGUCAUCUAUGAUAUAAAGGAGCAGGUAUCAAGCACACAACAACUGUAGCUCAUAACACCUCGCUAAGCCACACCCCCACGGGAUACAGCAGUGACAAAAAUUAAGCCAUGAAUGAAAGUUCGACUAAGUUAUAUUAAAGUAGGGUUGGUAAAUUUCGUGCCAGCCACCGCGGUCAUACGAUUAACCCGGACUAAUGGCCCUACGGCGUAAAGCGUGUUACAGAAAUAUAUCUAUGUUAAAGUUAAGUUUUAACUAGGCCGUAAAAAGCUACAGUUAAUACAAAAAUAUAUCACGAAAGUAACUUUAACAUAUCUUAUUACACGAUAGCUAAGCUUCAAACUGGGAUUAGAUACCCCACUAUGCUUAGCCCUAAACCUAGAUAUAUAAUCAAACAAAUAUAUCCGCCAGAGAACUACUAGCAACAGCUUAAAACUCAAAGGACUUGGCGGUGCUUUAUAUCCCUCUAGAGGAGCCUGUUCUAUAAUCGAUAAACCCCGAUAUACCUCACCAUCUCUUGCUAAUUCAGUUUAUAUACCGCCAUCUUCAGCAAACCCUAAAAAGGAAGAAAAGUAAGCAUAAACAUCUUAACAUAAAAAAGUUAGGUCAAGGUGUAACCCAUGAGGUGGGAAGCAAUGGGCUACAUUUUCUAUUUCUAGAACACUUUUACGAAUACCCUUAUGAAACAUAAGGGUUAAAGGAGGAUUUAGUAGUAAACUAAGAACAGAGAGCUUAGUUGAAUAGGGCCAUGAAGCACGCACACACCGCCCGUCACCCUCCUCAAGUAACAAUAAUAAGCAUAAAAUAAUAUACCCAAAACACAAAACACAAGAGGAGACAAGUCGUAACAAGGUAAGCAUACUGGAAAGUGUGCUUGGAUAAAC
Molecule: non-coding RNA, 965 nt
Filed under: Paradoxurus hermaphroditus (Asian palm civet)
Lineage: Eukaryota; Metazoa; Chordata; Mammalia; Carnivora; Viverridae
Description: 12S ribosomal RNA
Rfam family: Bacterial small subunit ribosomal RNA
Source: RNAcentral